This 253-nucleotide ribosomal RNA is filed under the name uncultured bacterium. Its description in RNAcentral is "partial 16S ribosomal RNA". It matches the Rfam family "Bacterial small subunit ribosomal RNA", at positions 524 to 776 of the family's 1533-position model. The record is from RNAcentral.
UACAGAGGGUGCGAGCGUUGUCCGGAAUCACUGGGCGUAAAGGGCGCGUAGGCGGUCUCUUAAGCGUGUUGUGAAAGCCCGGGGCUCAACUCCGGGUCGGCCGUGCGAACUGGGGGACUGGAGCUUGUCAGAGGCAGGCGGAAUUCCGGGUGUAGCGGUGGAAUGCGUAGAGAUCCGGAAGAACACCGGUGGCGAAGGCGGCCUGCUGGGACAGUGCUGACGCUGAGGCGCGACAGCGUGGGGAGCAAACAGG